UACGUAGGGUGCGAGCGUUGUCCGGAAUUAUUGGGCGUAAAGGGCUCGUAGGCGGUUUGUCGCGUCGGGAGUGAAAUCCACUGGCUUAACUGGUGGCUUGCUUUCGAUACGGGCAGACUGGAGGUAUGCAGGGGAGAACGGAAUUCCUGGUGUAGCGGCGAAAUGCGCAGAUAUCAGGAGGAACACCGGUGGCGAAGGCGGUUCUCUGGGCCUUACCUGACGCUGAGGAGCGAAAGCGUGGGGAGCAAACAGG
RNAcentral lists this ribosomal RNA (253 nucleotides) under uncultured bacterium. RNAcentral describes it as "partial 16S ribosomal RNA". It matches the Rfam family "Bacterial small subunit ribosomal RNA", at positions 524 to 776 of the family's 1533-position model. The record is from RNAcentral.